Molecule: non-coding RNA, 46 nt
Organism: Schistosoma curassoni
Lineage: Eukaryota; Metazoa; Platyhelminthes; Trematoda; Strigeidida; Schistosomatidae
Source: Rfam
GCAUUGCUGAGGAGUCACACAAUAUGACGAAAUGGCCGUCCAGUGC